This 468-nucleotide ribosomal RNA is filed under the name uncultured bacterium. RNAcentral's name for it is "partial 16S ribosomal RNA". It matches the Rfam family "Bacterial small subunit ribosomal RNA", at positions 28 to 507 of the family's 1533-position model. The record is from RNAcentral.
GACGAACGCUGGCGGCGUGCUUAACACAUGCAAGUCGAACGGAAAGGCCCUGCUUUUGUGGGGUGCUCGAGUGGCGAACGGGUGAGUAACACGUGAGUAACCUGCCCUUGACUUUGGGAUAACUUCAGGAAACUGGGGCUAAUACCGGAUAGGAGCUCCUGCUGCAUGGUGGGGGUUGGAAAGUUUCGGCGGUUGGGGAUGGACUCGCGGCUUAUCAGCUUGUUGGUGGUGUAGUGGCUUACCAAGGCUUUGACGGGUAGCCGGCCUGAGAGGGUGACCGGCCACAUUGGGACUGAGAUACGGCGCAGAAGCCUACGGGAGGCAGCAGGGGGGAAUAUUGCACAAUGGGCGGAAGCCUGAGGCAGCAACGCCGCGUGCGGGAUGACGGCCUUCGGGUGGUAAACCGCUGUCGCCUGUGACGAAGCGGGAGUGACGGUAAUGGGUAAAGAAGCACCGGCUAACUACGUG